Non-coding RNA from Bactrocera oleae (olive fruit fly), 1004 nucleotides. NCBI's taxonomy places the organism in Eukaryota, Metazoa, Arthropoda, Insecta, Diptera, Tephritidae. The record is from RefSeq and is a predicted model, not a curated record.
AGGCUGUUUUCACUGUCUUUGGAGAUUUAUAAAAUAGCUGUUUUUGACUAGCCGAUCGAAGCUGUAGCAUUUUAUAGAUUAGCUUCAAAUCUCCUCUGUGACGGGAUUAACACGUGUCAUUUUGGUAUGGUGAAUUCUUGAUAAAACUAGUAGAAUAGUGAGAUAAUAUACUCAACAGCCCAAAUCUCAUGAUCUAGUGUCGGUUGGAACAUGGUAUACGAAUAGAGCUGUAAAAAGGUGAUCUGCAUCAUUAAAAUAUCAAUUGUGUUUGUAAAAAGUUUUUAAAAGUGAAGUUUUACAAAAAAACCAUGCGAAAACGAUGUUAAAUGACUGAUUUCACUAAAGGGCAAAUAAUAGCUCGAUCGCAGCAAAAUCAAAGCUUCAGAAAAAUAUUGGGCAAUGUGGAGUUCAGCCACACUACUGUAGCAGCUUUCAUAAAAAAAUAUCCCAGUAGACUGUUCGCUGGUGGCUCAAAGAUACAGAACGACGCCCUGCAAAAAAAAAUUUUUUGAGACAACGGAUCAGCUGAUAUCCCCCAUGUAUGGAGAAGGUCAGGCGAACGGUUCAGUUUAGAAUGCCUAUUAUUCACAGCUCGCAGGAUGAUCUGGGGCUAUUUUUCUUAAAAAGGAGUGAAAUAAUUGUGCUAAUUAAAGGAAGAGUCAACGGUGACGUCUAUACAAAAAUCCUGGAAGCCUAUUUGAUGCCCAGCACGAUUCUGCGCCAUGUCACAAGGCACAUCUUGGCGUGGCCUGGGAAUGGUUCAGAUUUAAGUCCCAUUGAAAGUCUUGGCCGAUUAUGAAGAAACAGGUAGCCGCACAGAAGCCAAAGGACCAUAAGGAACUGGAUUCCGUCCUUUUGAAGAAGACAUUUCCCAAAACGCAGAGUAAAAUUAUAAAGCAAAAUUAAACAAUAAUUGUCAUACUACUAUUUUAAUUUUUUUUGUGAUCAAUAUUGUAGAAUGCUCCUAAUUUUAAUAAUCUCAAAAAUUUGAUUCCCUCCUGAAA